Molecule: unclassified non-coding RNA, 346 nt
Filed under: soil metagenome
Description: partial contains 5.8S ribosomal RNA, internal transcribed spacer 2, and large subunit ribosomal RNA
Rfam family: 5.8S ribosomal RNA (bases 1-120)
Source: RNAcentral
GAUGAAGAACGCAGUGAAAUGCGAUACGUAAUGUGAAUUGCAGAAUUCAGUGAAUCAUCGAGUCUUUGAACGCACAUUGCGCCCCCUGGUAUUCCGGGGGGCAUGCCUGUCCGAGCGUCAUUGCUGCCCUCAAGCACGGCUUGUGUGUUGGGCCUCCGUCCUCCUCCCGGGGGACGGGCCCGAAAGGCAGCGGCGGCACCGCGUCCGGUCCUCGAGCGUAUGGGGCUUCGUCACCCGCUCUUGUAGGCCCGGCCGGCGCUUGCCGACACAUCAAUCUUUUUUCCAGGUUGACCUCGGAUCAGGUAGGGAUACCCGCUGAACUUAAGCAUAUCAAUAAGCCGGAGGA